RNAcentral lists this ribosomal RNA (251 nucleotides) under uncultured Lactobacillus sp. RNAcentral's name for it is "partial 16S ribosomal RNA". It matches the Rfam family "Bacterial small subunit ribosomal RNA", at positions 111 to 354 of the family's 1533-position model. The record is from RNAcentral. Lineage: Bacteria; Bacillati; Bacillota; Bacilli; Lactobacillales; Lactobacillaceae.
UAACACGUGGGGGAACCUGCCCCAUAGUCUGGGAUACCACUUGGAAACAGGUGCUAAUACCGGAUAAGAAAGCGGAUCGCAUGAUCAGCUUUUAAAAGGCGGCGUAAGCUGUCGCUAUGGGAUGGCCCCGCGGUGCAUUAGCUAGUUGGUAAGGUAAAGGCUUACCAAGGCGAUGAUGCAUAGCCGAGUUGAGAGACUGAUCGGCCACAUUGGGACUGAGACACGGCCCAAACUCCUACGGGAGGCAGCAG